RNAcentral lists this transfer RNA (56 nucleotides) under Heterocephalus glaber (naked mole-rat). It matches the Rfam family "tRNA", at positions 8 to 63 of the family's 71-position model. Rfam says of the family: Transfer RNA (tRNA) molecules are approximately 80 nucleotides in length. Their secondary structure includes four short double-helical elements and three loops (D, anti-codon, and T loops). Further hydrogen bonds mediate the characteristic L-shaped molecular structure. tRNAs have two regions of fundamental functional importance: the anti-codon, which is responsible for specific mRNA codon recognition, and the 3' end, to which the tRNAs corresponding amino acid is attached (by aminoacyl-tRNA synthetases). tRNAs cope with the degeneracy of the genetic code in two manners: having more than one tRNA (with a specific anti-codon) for a particular amino acid; and 'wobble' base-pairing, i.e. permitting non-standard base-pairing at the 3rd anti-codon position. Lineage: Eukaryota; Metazoa; Chordata; Mammalia; Rodentia; Bathyergidae. The record is from Rfam by way of RNAcentral.
UAGCUCAGUGGUAGAGCACUUGCCUGGCAUGUGUGAGGCCCUGGGUUCAAACCCAG